AACGAACGCUGGCGGCAGGCCUAACACAUGCAAGUCGAACGCCGUAGCAAUACGGAGUGGCAGACGGGUGCGUAACACGUGGGAACAUACCCUUUGGUUCGGAAUAACUCAGGGAAACUUGAGCUAAUACCGGAUAAGUCCGCGAGGAGAAAGAUUCAUCGCCGAAGGAUUGGCCCGCGUCUGAUUAGCUAGUUGGUGAGGUAACGGCUCACCAAGGCGACGAUCAGUAGCGGUCUGAGAGGAUGAUCAGCCACACUGGGACUGAGACACGGCCCAGACUCCUACGGGAGGCAGCAGGUGGGGAAUAUUGGACAAUGGGCGCAAGCCUGAUCCAGCCAUGCCGCGUGAGUGAUGAAGGCCUUAGGGUUGUAAAGCUC
RNAcentral lists this ribosomal RNA (377 nucleotides) under uncultured bacterium. RNAcentral's name for it is "bacterial SSU rRNA". It matches the Rfam family "Bacterial small subunit ribosomal RNA", at positions 29 to 433 of the family's 1533-position model. The record is from RNAcentral.